CCUACGGGAGGCAGCAGUGAGGAAUAUUGGUCAAUGGGCGUAAGCCUGAACCAGCGAAGUCGCGUGAGGGAAGAAGGCUCUAUGGAUCGUAAACUUCUUUUAUAAGGGAAUAAAGUGCGGGACGUGUCCCUUUUCGUAUGUACCUUAUUAAUAAGGAUCGGCUAACUCCGUUCCAGCAGCCGCGGUAAUACGGAGGAUCCGGGCGUUCGCCGGAUUUAGUGGGUUUAACGGGUGCGUAGACGGCAUUGUAAGUCAGGAGUGAAAGUCUGUGGCUCAACCAUAGAAUUGCAGUUGAAACUGGGAGGCUUGAGUACAGUUGAGGUAGGCGGAAUUCGUGGUGUAGCGGUGAAAUGCUUAGAUAUCACGAAGAACUCCGAUUGCGAAGGCAGCUUACUAAGCUGUGACUGACGCUGAUGCUCGAAAGCGUGGGGAUCAAACAGGAUUAGAUACCCUUGUAGUC
Molecule: ribosomal RNA, 460 nt
Filed under: uncultured bacterium
Lineage: Bacteria
Description: partial 16S ribosomal RNA
Rfam family: Bacterial small subunit ribosomal RNA
Source: RNAcentral